CCCUAGCAAAGAGGUAUAUUGAAAGUUCAUGAAGAUAUAGGACUGAUAUGAAAAAGAAGGCGAGUCUGGAAGUAGAGCAAGGCAUCCAUGGAAUGAAGAAAAUCUGGACUAGAUAAGAUUGAGAGAAAACCUACUCCCAAAAUCAUACCAAUGAAUUAGCUGUCUGGUAAUUGCAGCAGGGCAGAAGCUGUACUUCAUGUGUGACAGUGAAUAUGGGGGGGGGGGUCAUAGUCACUCCUACUCCAGCUUGCUAGAAUUCAGUUCCAGGAGAGGCAAGCCAAGAAGACCUGAGGUUAUCACCUGCUCCCAGUGUGUUGCUUGUAAAGGAAGACUGUAACUCUGGGAAAAGUAGAGCACUGUCUCAUGCCCAGCUCUGGAGUCACUACUCCAGAGAUUUUGCUUGGAGAAAAAGGUCCUGAAACAAAUGAAAAGGAAGCCCUAGAUAAUCAUCACGUGGAAACAACAUGUGAAGCAAGGAAGCUAUUAAAGGAACAAGUAUGGAGAAUAGAGAAAGCAUUGUCAAGAUGGUGAAAGGGGCAGAAGAAUCAUUUUAAUACAACAAAAAUGUACAAUAAGCAUGCGGUUUUGUUAUGUGUUUGUUUGCUAAGGUGUGCCUACGGUGCUCAGUGUUUUUGCCCGGCCCUUGGCCUGAUGCGGCAUAUAAUGGGUACUCAGUAAAGAUUUUUUUCUUUUAAUGAAUUAGUGACUGUGACACAAUUUGGAAUUCUGGGCAUUUUUUCUGGACUGUUCACAAAUUUUUUUGCCUUGAGUUACACAAAUACAAUAUAAGCCUAUGUAUUUUUAGUUCUUUCAAGUGAAAUUUUUAGCAUAAUCUAUUUAAAAUCUAUGUGACAAGAGAAUUAUAGCUUGAAAACGUUUCCUUACUUUAAGGACUGAUCCAAAAAGGAUUGUCCUUCACAGCUCUGUUUCUUAAUGGAGGGAAACAUAACACUGAUGUAUUCUAUGACACAUAGUUUGUACAUAUUAUUUUAUUUAACUAUGCAAUCUUUCUGUAAAGUAGGUGUUAUCAUUGUCCAUUUCAUAGAGGAGGGAACUAAGGCUUACAGAAGUUAAAUAACUUGUCCAAGGUAAAAAGCCAGUAUAUGUGACUACUGAGCUUUUAAACAGUAUGUGUGGCUCAAAAACUUACACUCCCUAACCAUCACAGCAGAGACUACAGAGACGGCACCUUGUAAGACAAAACAAAGCUGCUUUAAAUCAAGAGAAACUGCCCCUUACUUGACAAGUCUUAACCAAAGAUUCUUCCUUCCUGAUAUCUUCUCCAAUUUAAAGCAGAAGUGUGUUUAUAGGAUUUAUAAAAUGUUACUAAAAUCAGUUAGCAUGUUAAGAAAUUUACAUUGCACUCUCUGGCAAACACAAAUUAGAUCUCAUCCAGUUUUCCAGUUCUUUUUCAUUUGAGGAUAUGUGGCACAAUGUAUUUUGCAAGUGCAGCCAAUCAAAGGUAAAUAAUUACACAGACAGAGGAGAGAUGAAAGACAUCUGUCGGUGGACAGAGCUAUCCCAUCCAGCCUGCUCUUCUGACUGGGUGACGUUAACACAUCUCCAUCAAGAAGUGGGCUCUAUUUUUUUUUUCUUAAACCUUAAACAUGGGUAGAACUUUGCAACUGCAUCUACCAACAGAAUGUGGUAGAAAUCAUGCUAUGCACCCUCCCAGAGGAGAUAAAAGUGGCAAUAUGAUUUCCAUCUCACUCACUCAGGAUGCUUACCCUAUGAACUAGCCACUCAUUAUUAACAGAAAGGAAAAAAAAAAACAUGGAGAAGUCCUGUGUGGGUGUGCCGAGCAACAUCUUCAUCCAGGCCUCCAGCCAACAUCAACAAUCAGAACUGGGAGAAGACAUCCCUUCAGAUGAUUCCAGUCCCCAGGUUUUAAUUCUCCCAGCUGACACUGUAGAUCUCAGAGAUCAGAAAGAAGCGAGCCCUAUUGUGCUUUGCCUGAAUUUCUCACUUACAAAAACCAUUAGAAAUAAUGUGAUUGUUGCUUUAAACAACUAAGACUUAGGGGGUAAUAUGUUAUAUAAUUAUAUGGAAGAGAAAUCAAGUUUCUCAUUAUGUCUUCUGCAAAUAAAAUCUGAUCAUGGAAAUAUUAGGAGUUCAGUUGCUCCUGAAGUUAUCUCUAGAUACAUCAACCAAACCUACCUUUGAACCUGGAUGCACAAAGGUAUUGCACAACAAAAUUCUACUAUGGGCACGGGGAUAACAUGUUACAGUGGAAAAUAGAUGAUCUUUGGUCAGACUAUCUAGAUUCAUAUUCUAGCUCCAUCACUGACUGGUUGUAUGAACUUGGAGAAAUUUGCUUCACUUCUAUGCACAUCACUUCCUCAUCAAUAAAGGGAGAAUAACAGUUGUAACUUCAGUUAUUACAAUAAUUUACCCCCAUCCCAGCCAUAAAUCACUUCCACCUAAGAAUCCUAAUUUUCACAGUGCCACACAGAAUUGGAAGGUAAAACAACCUGAGAAAACUUCCUAACUUGGGA
Non-coding RNA from Vicugna pacos (alpaca), 2495 nucleotides. NCBI's taxonomy places the organism in Eukaryota, Metazoa, Chordata, Mammalia, Artiodactyla, Camelidae. The record is from RefSeq and is a predicted model, not a curated record.